UACGAAGGGUGCAAGCGUUACUCGGAAUUACUGGGCGUAAAGGGUGCGUAGGUGGUUUGUUAAGUCUGCUGUGAAAUCCCCGGGCUCAACCUGGGAAUGGCAGUGGAUACUGGCGAGCUAGAGUGCGGUAGAGGGUAGUGGAAUUCCCGGUGUAGCAGUGAAAUGCGUAGAGAUCUGGAGGAACACCAGUGGCGAAGGCGGCUACCUGGACCAGCACUGACACUGAAGCGCGAAAGCGUGGGGAGCAAACAGG
Molecule: ribosomal RNA, 253 nt
Filed under: uncultured bacterium
Lineage: Bacteria
Description: partial 16S ribosomal RNA
Rfam family: Bacterial small subunit ribosomal RNA
Source: RNAcentral